Molecule: non-coding RNA, 46 nt
Organism: Schistocephalus solidus
Lineage: Eukaryota; Metazoa; Platyhelminthes; Cestoda; Diphyllobothriidea; Diphyllobothriidae
Source: Rfam
AUAAUGGUUUUUUUCAAAACCACCAAAAAGAAUCUCCCAAGCGUCU